AGAGUUUGAUCCUGGCUCAGGAUAAACGCUGGCGGCGUGCUUAAUGCAUGCAAGUCGAACGGUCCUUCGGGACAGUAGCAAAUGGGUGAGUAACGCGUAAGUAACCUGUCCCUAAGUGGGGGAUAACUUCGGGAAACUGGAGCUAAUACCGCAUGUGAUGGCCCUUCAAAAGAGUGGCUAUUAAAACCUUCGGGUGCUUGGGGAGGGGCUUGUGUCCGAUUAGCUUGUUGGUGAGGUAACGGCCCACCAAGGCAAUGAUCGGUAGCUGGUCUGAGAGGAUGAUCAGCCACACUGGGACUGAGACACGGCCCAGACUCCUACAGGAGGCAACAGCAAGGAAUAUUGUGCAAUGGGCGAAAGCCUGACACAGCGACGCCGCGUGGGGGAAGAAGGCCUUCGGGUUGUAAACCUCUUUUCUCAGGGAAGAAUAAUGACGGUACCUGAGGAAUAAGUCUCGGCUAACUACGUGCCAGCAGCCGCGGUAAUACGUAGGAGGCAAGCGUUAUCCGGAUUUAUUGGGCGUAAAGCGCGUGUAGGCGGCUCUUCAAGUCGGAUGUAAAAUCUCCCGGCUCAACUGGGAGAGACCAUUCGAUACUGCUGGGCUAGAGUGCAGCAGAGGGAGGUGGAAUUCCCGGUGUAGUGGUGAAAUGCGUAGAUAUCGGGAGGAACACCAGUGGCGAAGGCGACCUCCUGGGCUGUAACUGACGCUGAGACGCGAAAGCGUGGGGAGCGAACAGGAUUAGAUACCCUGGUAGUCCACGCGGUAAACGAUGGACACUAGGUAUAGGGAGUAUCGACCCUCUCUGUGCCGUAGCUAACGCAUUAAGUGUCCCGCCUGGGGACUACGGCCGCAAGGCUAAAACUCAAAGGAAUUGACGGGGGCCCGCACAAGCAGCGGAGCGUGUGGUUUAAUUCGAUGCAACACGAAGAACCUUACCAGGGCUUGACAUGUUGGAAGUAGAAACCCGAAAGGGGGACGACCUGUUAAGUCAGGAACCUACACAGGUGCUGCAUGGCUGUCGUCAGCUCGUGCCGUGAGGUGUCGGGUUAAGUCCCAUAACGAGCGCAACCCUCGUCGCUAGUUGAUUUCUCUAGCGAGACUGCCCCGCAAAACGGGGAGGAAGGUGGGGAUGACGUCAAGUCAGCAUGGCCCUUAUGCCCUGGGCUACACACACGCUACAAUGGGUGGUACAAUUGGUGGCAAUGGGGUGAACCCGGAGCUAAUCCUUAAAACCAUCCUCAGUACAGAUUGCAGGCUGAAACCCGCCUGCAUGAAGGUGGAGUUGCUAGUAACCGCGUAUCAGCAUGGCGCGGUGAAUACGUUCUCGGGCCUUGUACACACCGCCCGUCACGUCAUGAAAGUUGGCAACACCUGAAGUCGAUGGGCCAACCUGAUUUAUCGGGAGGUAGUCGCCGAAGGUGGGGCCGAUGAUUGGGACGAAGUCGUAACAAG
This 1453-nucleotide ribosomal RNA is filed under the name uncultured bacterium. RNAcentral describes it as "16S ribosomal RNA". It matches the Rfam family "Bacterial small subunit ribosomal RNA". The record is from RNAcentral.